UACGAAGGGGGCUAGCGUUGUUCGGAAUUACUGGGCGUAAAGCGCGCGCAGGCGGUUUUCCAAGUCAGUGGUGAAAGCCCGGAGCCUCAACUCCGGAAUUGCCAUUGAAACUGUUAAACUUGAGUACGAGAGAGGUGAGUGGAAUUCCCAGUGUAGAGGUGAAAUUCGAUAGAUAUUGGGAAGAACACCGGUGGCGAAGGCGGCUCACUGGCUCGUAACUGACGCUCAGGCGCGAUAGCGUGGGGAUCAAACAGG
RNAcentral lists this ribosomal RNA (255 nucleotides) under uncultured bacterium. RNAcentral's name for it is "partial 16S ribosomal RNA". It matches the Rfam family "Bacterial small subunit ribosomal RNA", at positions 524 to 776 of the family's 1533-position model. The record is from RNAcentral.